CGCUGGGCGGCGUGCUUAACACAUGACAAGUCGGAACGGAGUAUAGACGCUGCAGAGAUUUCGGUCAAAGCUUGUUUAUACUUAGUGGCGGGACGGGUGAGGUAACGCGGUGGGUAACCUGCCGUAUGCGAGGGGGGACAACAGUUGGAAACGACUGCUAAUACCGCAUAUGCGCACAGUACCGCAUGGUACGGUGUGGAAAGAUUUAUCGGCAUACGAUGGACCCGCGUUUGAUUAGAUAGUUGGUGAGGUAACGGCUCACCAAGUCGACGAUCAAUAGCCGGCCUGAGAGGGCAAUCGGCCACAUUGGGACUGAGACACGGCCCAAACUCCUACGGGAGGCAGCAGUGGGGAAUAUUGCACAAUGGGGGAAACCCUGAUGCAGCCGACGCCGCGUGAGUGAAGAAGUAUUUCGGUAUGUAAAGCUCUAUCAGCAGGGAAGAUGAUGACGGUACCUGACUAAGAAGCCCCGGCUAACUACGUGCCAGCAGCGGC
This 495-nucleotide ribosomal RNA is filed under the name uncultured bacterium. RNAcentral describes it as "bacterial SSU rRNA". It matches the Rfam family "Bacterial small subunit ribosomal RNA", at positions 38 to 518 of the family's 1533-position model. The record is from RNAcentral.